GAUUAUGGAGGAGAUGAAGCGCAGGCUUGUUAGUUCAGGGAAGCAGAGGAAUUGUACUUCCGUGGUUGAGGCGUCGACAGUAUUGUGCAUCAUGCAGCUCGCUUCUAUUGGAAAAGAAUCAAAGAGUUCAGACGACAUUGUUUACUGAUGGAAGAGGGUACUUACGUACGUAGUUGAUCUCCAGAAUUGGUUAAUGUGAUUCAUGAAGAUUACUCCGAGCUACUUUGAGCCUUGAAGGAAAUUACUAUCCAUCCAAAUAAACUACUGUGAACCAAGAAGACAUUCUUUUCUGCUUUUUAACCGAGAAGAGUACUUUCCAAUCUAUAGCUUUUGACAAGGC
RNAcentral lists this long non-coding RNA (340 nucleotides) under Rosa chinensis. RNAcentral describes it as "sRNA RchiOBHm_Chr7g0184591". The record is from RNAcentral. Lineage: Eukaryota; Viridiplantae; Streptophyta; Magnoliopsida; Rosales; Rosaceae.